Molecule: ribosomal RNA, 284 nt
Filed under: Alphaproteobacteria bacterium
Lineage: Bacteria; Pseudomonadati; Pseudomonadota; Alphaproteobacteria
Description: partial 16S ribosomal RNA
Rfam family: Bacterial small subunit ribosomal RNA
Source: RNAcentral
AAACAUGAGAGUUUGAUCCUGGCUCAGAACGAACGCUGGCGGCAGGCCUAAAACAUGCAAGUUGAACGGCUGUAGCAAUACAGCAGUAGCGCAAGGGUGAGUAAUGUAUGGGAACGUAUCUUUUGGUGGGGAAUAUUCUUUGGAAACGAAGAGCAAUACCGCAUAAGCCCUACGGGGGAAAGAUUUAUCGCCGAUUGAGCGGCCCAUAUUGGAUUAGCUAGUUGGUUAGGUAACGGCUGACCAAGGCUGUGAUCCAUAGCUGGUCUGAGAGGACGAUCAGCCAC